GAGAACCUCACCAUACCCAGCCACAUCCUGCAUGGACUGUGGGUGCAGAAAGCAGAGGUCCUAGGACAUCGUCACCCCCAAAGUGCAUUUCUGUGGCUGGGGGUGGCAGAAGACCAAGACAGAGAACUCGUUGCCCUUAGACUCCCACUGCCACCUGUGCCCUCCACCCUUGUCCUGCCCCAGGGAUGCACUUGGAGGGUGAGGAUUUUCUAGGCCCCCCCACCUCCCACCUCUGCACUCUGCUACCACAGCCAAGGGGAGAUGUAGCUGGGGAGGGUGGGUGUCUUCUCCCAAGGCUGCCCAGCUGGCAGCAGGCCUACUCAUCCCUCAGAGGCUGCAACUCAGGGAGGGGCAGGGUGAACUCAAGGAUUAGGUGAGCAGCCUGGUGGACUCCAGGCCAAUGCCAGGCAUUGGUGGAAUGGGCAGCAUAAGGUACUCAGCAGGUGUCUGGGUACCACCAGCUCCUGCGCCCUGCUUCGUGAGCAGGCAGGCCCUACCAGGAGCAAUGCCAGUUGCCUGGAGGAGCCACUGCAGAGGCCAUCACAGCCUCUAGUCGUCCUCUGACUCGGAGGCCUGCUGUCCCAAGCUUUCACCAUCACCGCUAACAGAGCUCCACACUGCGGCCACUGGAGUCCCCACAGGGCCACCAGUGAUGCCGCAGCCACCAUCACUGCACUGGGACCAGACUCCUGCCACUACCAGAGGAUGAGAAUGCUCCUCUCUGGAUGCCUGGCUUGACGUUGCCACCUACAGACUCCUUGGUUGCCUUUGCCACCGCUGCCAUAACUGAACUUCAGACACCAAUACCUCCACAGAUUCCAAACGCCAAGGCUUCACUGCCCAGGCUCCUGCCCAUGGCUGUCCUCCAAGCCUGAGGCCAAUUCUCCAUCCUGCCACUGAUACAUCUGGGCUCCUCAAACUGCCUUAAGACACCUAGGCUCGCUGUUUGACAUUCUCCCCACAGAUGGAUGCUGACACUGCUCCUGGUCACUGGGAACCUCCAAUGGGAAACCCUGCUGUGGAACGCUGAGGUUGGCUUCUAUAUGCUUCAGUCCCAGAAACCAGACUUCUUUCACAGCCACUAGAUGCCUUUGCAGGUGCCACCUAUACCUCCAGGCUUGGGAAGGGUCCAGCACAUGCCCUUCCAUGCCUGCUGCCUGUUCAUAUCUGUCCGUGGAAUAAACCAUUGAUUGGGUUAAAGCUCUCAGAACUGAAUCAUUUCACUGAUAAUCCUUGUAUUGGCUCGCCCAUGAGCUUCUGGGGACACCUACUACCUAAAGCACAACACAUCUUCAUCGAAUAGCUUAGCAAGACCUUCUAGAUGACUUGCAAGAGCUUCUACAUCAGCACUUGUUUCUUUGCCUUGCACUUUUAUUUUGUGGAGAGGGGCCUCUUGCCAAAAACAUAAUGGACCAAACUCUGGCACCUUCAAACUUCUUCUGCAGCUUUCUCACUUCUCUUGUCAGUAUAACAAUCUAAAGUGAUGGCCUUAUCUGGAUUUGGCUUCAUCUUCAUAGAACGUGGGUUGUUCUUCUUUUCUUAAGAAUAUAAUCUAUAUUAGUGGAUUAGUUACAACUCUCAUAAUCUGAUCAUUUCACCUCCAAACAUUUUUGCAUUGUCUCAUACAUGAACUUUUGGAGGACAUCUCAUAUCUAAACCAUUAAAGUGUCCAAGAAGUUUACCAUCAUUUAGCAUAGUGACAGUUAUGAGAUAGUUUAGGAAGACCUGGAGAACAGAAAAGAAGUGUCACCCCCAAAAGUGAGAAAAACAAUAGAAAGUAUUUUCUGAAAAGUCAAGAGAGAGAAGGAUCUCAAACAAAAGUGAUGUCAAACAAACACUAGGGCACAUCCUUUGGAUUUGGUUUGGGAUCUGAGUUUUGGAAGAAAUCCUUAAUUAUUUAUGCCCCCCCCAAAAAAAAUACAGAAUGGUUGCUGAAAUGGAGCAAAGUGAAAGGAAAUGGAAUAGAGCCAGCGAUGCCUUUAGAAAAUUACUAAAGAAAAAAAACUUAAGUUGGUGCAAGAAAAUUCUAGUAGCAGUUUUGUUGUUAAGGACUCUCCUGGAAGUAGGCAAGCAUUAAAAAAGGAGGAUGCUUUAAUAAAAUCUUAGGGGAGCCAAUGCAACAUUGGGAGCCCAGAAACGAAGGUGAAGACGGAGAAAAUGGACAUCAGAGAUGCUAAUGGCUCUGUGAGGAUUUUUACAGAAAUAAAUCAGAGAAAGAAGUUAAAAAUAUGUAAUGGGCGGAGGCAACUCUCCAUUUUAAACUGUGAUCAUUAAGAGUAUUUAAAGUAUUGCCCUGUCUCAUUAAUAGCAGGAAGGGUAAGCCUUCCUAUUGUCUAACCUAAAUAAUAGCUUCUCGGUUGGCUGGUCACACUACGCAGUUUGUUGGAAACUCUCUGUAUUAAGGUUCCUCUUGGCAUGUCACUCCUGUGUGUAAUUCUGAGUGCAUGAGCAACUGGGUGGGCUUCAACAUAUUCUUAAUUUAAGUGCUGUCUUAAUUCAACUUAUUAUCUGGUCUACAGCAAGCUUUUAAUCAUUUAUUUUUAAUAUUUGUCUUAUUUAUUUAUGAUAUAUUUAUUUAUGAUUUAUAAUUUUAUAAUUUGUAUAGCAUUUAUUUAUAAUUUAUAUUUAUUUAUAAUUUAUAAUUAUUUAUAAUUUAUUUAUAUAUCUUAUUUAAUUUUUUUAGUAUCUUGGAAAAAAAGCAUUCUUCCUUCCAGGUAUCAGUUCUACCCAGGAGGCAAAGCCUAGGAUGGCCUCCAUGUUGAUGAAUAGCACGCCCACACAGACACUUGGGUAUCUAGUUGUGUCUUUCUUCUACCUUUGGCCAUUCUAGAAUAAUACACCAAACUUUGAUAUGAUGAUGACCUUUUGGUUCCCAUUAUUUUUGUGUUCUUUUUUUUUAAGUAAUUAGAACUAAAAAUGAGAGAUUAAUUGCUAUACUUGUUGGAAUAUUUAUUUUUACUCAGUCAAUAUAUAUAAUAAUUUCCUCUAAAUAAACCAUAAUGAAUCUGAAAGAUUUUUAAAUUGCCUAUUAAUUAGUUGAGUUGAGUUCCUGGCCCUGCAGGGAGCCCUCCCAUAUGUGAUCUUCGUUUCUUUAACACUAUUUACUUACUGUCAUCACUCCCAGUUACGCUCUUCCUUUCCUGCUGCAUAGUGUGUGCAAUAGAAUUCACCGUGGUGUUGAAUCCUACUUUCUUAAGCCUCCCCUACCUCCCACACCAGUGCUCUUCUCUGGGCAGCCCAUCAACACUGUUCUAGUCAAGACAGAGUAUCUCCCUUCAAAUCAUUUAUUUUUCAGCUUAGGGCUUGGUAUGCUUUUUCUAUAAGGGACACCAGUUAGUAAAUAUUUUAAGCUUUGUGGGCCACAUAUGUUCUCUAUCAUAUACUCCUUUUUGUUUUUUAAAAUAAUUCUUUAAAAAUAUAUAAUCACUCUUAGCUUGCACAAAAACAGGCUUGACUUAGUGUGUGGGCUGGUAGCCUAGCUGAUUGUCCACUUGGCAGGCACUUCCUUCAAGCCUUACAGAAAAGCAGAUCUCAUUAAGAUAAUCUAAUUCCUCUGUUCUUAUUCUAGUUCUUUUUUUUUUUUCCAGCAACCUCUAGAAAUAAUCUACUGUAGACUAUCUAAGAAAGAAUGUGCUGACCAGAAAACAUAGGUAUUCUGGAUUACUCAGUAGUAGUUUCUAAUUUCAAACUUAAUAAACCAGCAAAUUAUCACAACGUGUGUGUGUAUGUGUGUGUGUGUGUGUGUGUGUGUGUGUUGUUGUUGUUGUUGUUUCUAAAUGAAUCAGAUUAGCUUGGCUUGUACUGAAAAAUUUCUUUUGGAGGCCUGUACCAUUGAAGGCUAGACUGUAGAACCUGGCUAUCCCAGUUUAUUCCCCCUGGGUGGCCCAGUCUAGGCCUCCCUUUGAAGCCAGCCUUUUCAGUUUUCUACAGGGGCAAGGAACUGAAUAGAGAGGGGGAGGGGCUGGAGUCUGCCAGGUGGAGACAGUGAGGUUUUGGUGCCAAAAGAGUGAAAACCUGAGUCCACUCCACCACUACCUUUUUGUCUUUUCAGGAGUCCUUUAACUUCUCUGUCCAUUGCUUUACAUGUAGACUGUCUGAAGAUGAUUGCCUACGCACUUUCCCAUCCCUGAACCCACAGACCACAUCACCCUCAAGUGUCCAUCUCCCAUUCUUGUGAAUCUAGUCUGGCCUCCUGUCUUACCUUGGCCAGUAGAAUGUGGUAAAAGUGACUUCUGCUUUGUGAGCUUUUGCUUUCACUCUCUUGAGCUCUUGCUACCACAUAAAGAAGCUUGCACUCAACUACCCAAUAAUGACAAGCCAUGUGGUCAGAGGAUCAGCCCCAUGCUGAGCCAGACUGAACACAGCCACACGUGAAUUCUCAAAUGGCAUCAUGUGGAGUAGAACUGCCCAGCCCUAAGAAAUAAUGAGUUUUAGGGUCAUUUGUUUAAAUGCAAGAAAUAACUGAACACCACAUCACCCAGGUGUUCUCCUCCUCCUAGCAGUAGCACAGAGCUGUGGGCCUCCGUGCAUUGGAGUACAGCAGGAUGGAGGAAGAAAUAACUCAGCAAAGCUCCCCACGGAAUCCUGAUACCACCCUCUCUGUUAAUGUCAGUGAGUUUCAAUGAAUAGUCGAAGCCCAGUUACAAUGGAUUAAACACCGUGGAAGUUUACUUGUCUGUCAAAUAAAAAACUAAACGUAUGGUGAGAAGUAACUGAUCAGAAACAGCAUAAAGUGUCAAGGCCUUUUCCACUUUAAAUAAGAAUAUGCUUUUUCCAACAUAGUAAUUAUAUAACUUUAUCUGCCUUCAACUUGGAACACUAUUUCAAAUGACUAUAAUGAUGUUUAACUGUUUCAGAGUUGCCCGCACUGAUUCUUAGUAUAAGUGAUUGAUUUCAGCUUAGAUGCCUUGGGGGAAGUGCCUCACAUUUCGUUAUAACAUCUAGUCUCAGUUCCACUACCUCAAGCUUGACAAAAUACCAAAUAAUAAGUCUCUUUCUGGAAAAAUCAAGAAGUCUAUGGUUGAAUUAAUAACUGAAAGAGGUGAAUUUAGUCAUAAUCAUUAAGCUUCAGGGCCCCUGACUUGCACUUGCCUUCCAAGACUACAGAAUGUGCUCACAUGAUCAUAUAUUUGUGCAAAAUCAUCCAUAAAACCAGGUAAGAUUGUCCCUUUGGACAUUCCCUGUCACCACUUCUCUUGAGUCAGUGUUUUGGAUUGAAUGAUUCUAAGGGGGGUUGAAUUGAGGAUACAUUAAGUUUGAGAAAUAUUGGUGUGGUCUGCAGUCACUUUUUAUAUGGGGAAUUUAUUGCCAGAUACGGCAUGAGCUCCAGGAAUCUUCCCCUUGCCCACUGUGCUGAUUCAUGGCACCAUGGCACAAUGACAAAGGGCCAAGGGUAGAAUCAUACCAUAAUCCUGUCCAGCAGCAGCUGCCAUUGAAGAAAAUAGGCAUAGAAAAAAUUAAGGUGUAUAAUGUACAGAGCCAUAAGCUAGUCUGUGGAAGAUCCUUCCACUAAUCAGGGUGUAGAGUUAUUUUUCCUGCUGCUUUUUCAAAAACAAAGUUCUCACUGGUCAGGAAUAUAGGAUAUAAGUGGCAUACAUAAUUAUAAAAGCAAUAUGCACUUCUGUUUUGUUUUAUGGAAAUUGUACAGAAUUCCAAUAAAAUUCAUUGUAAUUUCUGUUUGAAAUCACAUAUCUAUAGCAGAUCAGUGGAUGUGUGUGUGAUGUCACCUAUUUUAUGCAUCACAACACAUUGCAUUGAUCUUAGCAAUCCUGACACAGCCUGCCCUGACACAGUCUGGUGGUUCCAGACACAGUGACCCACAAAAUGGAAUUCACAGGAUACUUAAGAUUAGUCACUACAUAAGAAAACUUGAAAUGCUCUGAAAUUUUAUAACACCUAUACAACAGAAAUUUUAUAGAUGUUUCCUAAAUAUAUACAUACCAUUCCCAAUAAUGAAUUUAGGAAAUUUUUAAUACUAUCAAUAUUUUUUAAAGUUUAAUCAAAUAUGCUAGAGUAGAAAAUGAAUUCAAUUUUUUUCUACAAUUUGGAUUACAAAAUAAUUUUCAUAUAAAGAGGUGAUCAAAGAAUAUGUAAUCAAAAUGUAGGAAACAGUAUUACAGAGAUGUGCUAGAUGUUUAAUGAUAAGAAAUGUUACUUUUCUGAAUUUGGUAAUAUUGUUAUUAGUUUUUAAAUGCAUAAUUGAUGUGACAUCUUCUCAUAUUAUAAGUACUUUAAGUAUAAUUUUAAGUAUAAGUACUUAUAAGUAUAAUUUUGUGUUUUAAUUUUGGAUAGUCUCCAAGUUUCAUAAAAUUUGAAUUCAUCCUGAACGCUAGAAGAUCUUGAUCAGUUCAGCUAAAUAAAAAUAGUCUGUUUUUUCAAAAGAGCAAGACUUUAUAUUCUGGUGCAUAACUGUGAUGCUGGCAUUCAAAGAUGGCACUUAAUGAACCUGCAGAUAUUUUUCUCAGAGCCAUACAACAUGGACUCCCAAGCUGCAGGGCAAGUGUGUCUUGAGAUGCUCUGAUAUUAGAAGGGAUAAUUUUAUUAUUUUAGGAAUUGUUCUAGUAUCCAAUAGGAAGAGUUCUAAUCCCUGUUGAAUUUCAUAUUCUGUCAGAGUUUUUGAGCAGAGACCCCCUAAGCCAAGUGCACUGUGAGCUAUCUCCGUGGCCUGCACCUGUUGGACAGAGAGCCAUAUGCUCCACCCUGAAAUAAGUUAUGUUGGGCAAACACUGUGGCAUAUGUUCUGACUUCUGCCUCUGAACUUCUAGUUUGUGUUCAAUAUAGUUGUUAAUUGAAAAGAGAUAGUUUUUCAUUUUAUGCGAGGCAAAAGUGAAUGGCAAAUAUGUUUAAGUUUAAAUUUCACCUAUUAGCAUAUUUUUAUCUCAUAACUGAGUUUUGCUAUACUUACUUCACUUCCCCAACUUAUUGCUUUAAAAUAAACAUUUCUCUCAGAGCAAUUCAAUUUUAAGACGAGAGAGAUGUUUAAUAAUCAAGAAUAACAAUUACCCAAAAUAUAUUCUCCUCUUCAUUUGAGGACAUACUCCCUGGACCAUAUCCCAACUGCAAAUAGGUUGGUUAGCAAAAGAAAUGUUUUAUUCAUUCCUCUCUAAUUAGAAUUCAGGAAAUAGAGUUCCCAAAAGAUGAGUAAAUAUAUUCCUUUAUUUUCACAUUGUACCAUUGUUGAAUUUAUGGUGUUGGAGAAAGUACCAGAAUAGCUAUUCACAAUUUAUUAGUAUUCACUGCAAGAACUGACCUGAACCUCAUGAUAAAAUAAUCUUCUUAAAUACCUGAACAUUAAUAUGUGUUUUAUUUUCAGUGAAAUAUGCACAUAUAAAUUUUUCCAAGAUAAUGUUUGUCUUUGAAAGUUCAUCUUUACUUUUGGAAGUAUUUUCUAGAAUUCUUAUAAUCUAAUUCUAAUUUCCUAACCAAUUAUUCCAGUGUAAUAGGAAGUAUUUAACCUAGAAGUUUUAGUUUUAAAUGGAAAAUCUUUUGAAUAUAGUUUCUCUGACAACCCAGUAUAUUUUAUUAUGUUUAAACAUUUUUCCCUCUCUGUUGGCACAAUAAGUCAUGUGCUAUUAGAUCAUAGCACACUUUCUUUCUCCAUAGAAUUUAGUUCAUCUGUAUUCUAUAGAAAUUAGUCUAGAACCAUGUUUCAAUUUUAGUGCUGUCAGUAUCUAUUAUUCAAGUUACUAAUGUGGUUGUGAAUUGAUGAACAAGAUUAAAUGUUUUGACCAUCUUCUUAAACAUUAAGUUCGUGUUUACUCACCAUUCACACUAAAUCUUACACAAGGAUAUAAUGGAAAUGAAUUCUGUUUAGCAAGUGUCUUAGUCAUCUUUCCAUCACUGGACAAAAUACCUGAAAUAAACAACUUAAAAGGAGAAAAGACUUAUUUUUCACAGUUUCAGAAAUUUCAAUCCAUAGUCUGUCAACUCCAGUGCUUUUCGGCCUGUGGCAAGGCAAAACAUAAUGGCAGGGAACAUAUGGUGGAGCAAAAUUCUCAACUCAUGGCUUCUGAAAAGCAAAAGAAUAAGCUUGUUUUUAUAAAAAAAAAAAAAAGAAAGAAAGAAAGAAAAAGAAAAAAAAAGAAAGGAAGAAAGAAAAAGCUCCUCUCCCCAAACCCAUUAAGCUUGAAUCCAUAAGUGGAUUAAUCCGCUCAUGGGGUCAGCGCCCCUGUGAUCCAAUCACCUUCUAAAGACUCCCAUCUCUUAACACUGCUGCACUGGCAACCAGGCAUUCAACACAUGAGCUCUUAGAGGACAUUUAAAAUUCAAACUAUAGCUUUCCACCUCCGGCCCCCAAAAGACUCAUGUCCCUCUCACAAUGCAUACUGCAUUCAGUUCAUUUCUGAGAGUUCCCAUAGUGUAAAUGGUUCCACAAUUGCUCAAAGUCCAAAGUCUCUUCUGAUCUUCAAGGCAAACUUCUACCUGUGAGCGCACAUAAAACAACAACAAAUAAUUUUAUACUUCCAAGAUACAAAGGUACAGAGUAAAUAUUCCCAUUCUAAAAAGGGAGGAAUGAGGCAAAGAAAGGAAGGAUCAGACCAAAGCAAGUCCAAAACCCAGCAGGGCAAUCAUCGUAUAGCUCCAUGUUCAGCACCUAAGCACCUGGUUGCCUAAUGUACACUCCAAAGGACUUGAGCAUCCCUGCUUCUAUUGCCUUGCCAGCUGAAGCCAUAUUGCCUCUCUUUUGGGUUGGCUCUAUUCAUGGACUAAAUCUUCCUGGGAUCCCCACCGAAGCUUCAACUUCACUUUCAUGGCUGUCUGCAUCAUCUUCUCAGGGGAUGCUUGCAGGGACUCCAAUACUGCCUUGAAAUGUUGGUGAAAGUUCUCUAAGACCUCACAACUCUUGCAUUCUUCAUGCAUACAAAACCAGCAUCAUGUGAACAGGGCCAAGGUCUUCCAUCAGCAGUAGUCAGGUCUACUUGAACCAAGGCUAUGAUGGCCUGGAAGACUAACCUGCCCCAUCAGUGAUCCCUGAUUUGAAUAAGUCAUACUGGUUUGGAAUGAAUGAUCCAAAAGCCAUCUUUAUCUUACAUGAAAGUUCCUGUCAACACUGACCAUAAAUAUAUUUAUUGUUCAUAUGAGAACAAUAUAACUGCUAAAAAUUUUUUUUUGCAGGAUUAAGAAGGCUCCUGUAAGUAUGAAAUAGAAGAUAAUCAAUUGAUAGGUGGAUCUUGCAUGAUUAGGGAAAAAGCUUUGUUAUGAAAAAAUAAUAAGUCAAUAAGCAUUUUACACCAGGGCUGAUGAUGUAACUCAGUGGUAGAGUACUUGCUUAGUAUGCAAAAGGCCCUAGGUUCAAUCCCAUUACCAAACACAAAAAAACUUCAAAGUGGACUGAUGUGUUUAAUGUGCGUGAGGCCCUAGGUUCAAUCUCCAGCACUACACACAUACACACAUGCAGACAUGUGUAGACACACAUGCACAAAACAACUUAAGCCACUAUUUCUUGGUGUUUUAGUUUGGAUCCAGAGUGUCCCCUAAAGUCUUAUGUGUUGAAGGCUUAGUCACCAAUGCAGCAGUGUUCAGAGGUGGGGCCUUUAGAAGGUGAUUCAACCAUGAGGGCACUGACCUCAUAAGUGGAUUAAUCCAUGUAUGGAUUUAUGGCUUAAUGGGUUUGGGGGAAGGGACUUUGUUAUAGAAGCAAGUUUUUCUUUGCUUCCUAGCCACCAUGGAGUGAGUAGCUUUGGUCCAUCACGUGCUCCAAGCGCACAAAGUUUACCUUGACACAGGCCCAAAGUGAUGGUGCCAGAUGAUGAUGGAUGAGAACCAUGAACAAAAAUAAUUUUUUCCUCCUUUUAUGUUAAUUUUCUCAGGUAUUUUGCUUACAGUGAUGAAACGCUGACUAAUAUGGAAAAUUAGUUCUAAGAAGUAGGGUCAUUGCUGUGACUUUACCUGACAAUGUGGUUCAGAAGUCUUUGGAAUUGGCUUGCAGGAGUAAUUCGGAAAAGCUUGGAGAAGCAGACUAGAAAAUUCUUAGAAUGCAGAGUGGAGCUUAAUGAAUGAGCUCAGAAGAACAGAAUACUAACAGGAAUGCUGAUAGUAAAGGCUGUUUUUCACAAGGUUUCAGAUGGAAAUUAGGAGUGUGUUGGGAAUUAGACUACAGGCCCUUUUGUUACAUUCUGGCAAAGAACUUGCCUCCAUUCUGUGCAUGCCCUGAGACUUUGCACUAGGCUGAAGUUAAAGGUAAUUAGUCUGGUGGAGUAAAUUUCAAUGCAGUACAGCAUUCAGGCACUAUGGGUAUUGCUGGCCACCUUUAGCCAGACUUAUAGUGAGAAUCAAAAACAAAAAGCAGAGCAGAAAGAUUUGAAAAACUUGCAGUUUUUCCAGAAAAGGAUUGUGUUUAAAGUCACAUGCAAGGAGGCUAUGCUUGUUAAAGAGAUCAAUGCCUUUUAAAAGCCAAGUACUUUGCACUGGGACAUUAAGAAAGAUGUCUUGGAGCAGCUCAGGAAUCAACAAGACACUCCCACUUUAGGCUCAAAGACCUUAGUUCGAGAAGUGAGCCCCAUGGCAUGCAGUUGCACAGAACUGUCUGGGGAAUUAUUUCCCCAGGAUUCAUUUCCCCAUAUUCAGUCAUCCAUGCAAUCAGAGGCCACUACUACUCAAACUGGUUUGAGACCUUGGCAUUGUCCACAUAAUGCUGAUUUUGUAGGCAUACAGAAUGCAAGAGUGGUGGUGACUUAAAGACUUCCACUGACAUUUCAAAGAAUGAGGCAAGAUUGGAGUCCCUGCAGCAUUCCCUGAGAGGAUUAUCUCUGGGACUCAAUGACUCUUAAAAAAAAAAAAAAAGCAUACCCAAUGCUAAACAUAUUGGCAAACUAACAACAGCUUUCUUCUUUGAUUUAUUUAAAAGAUAAUUUUGUUUUAUUGUAUGAACCAAAUUUUUUCAAUAUUUUAUUUUUUUUUAGUUGUAGUUGGACACAAUGCCUUUAUUUCACUUAUUUAUUUUUAUGUGAUGCUGAGGAUGGAAUCCAGGGUCUCGCAUGUAUGAGACUAUCGCUCUACCACCGAGCCACAACCCCGGCCCUGUAUGAACCAAAUUUUUAGGGUUGGCCACUAACCUGAAUAGAAAAAAAUCUUGGAUCUCAAAGACAGCAUAAAACAUUAUUAAUAUCUGCUAUUAACCAUUUUAGUGAACUUCCUGAAAUGGCAGUUACUAGACUCCUUAUCAUCUUGGAUAGGUGGUCAUGGACUUUCAUAUACCUUUGUGCUCCAAGCAUCUCUUAUAGUGGUCUUCUCCUAGCUUCAUGACUCUGAUUACUGAUUUUCAGUAUUACCAGUGGGGAUAUGGUCACUUACCAACCUCUGAGGUCAGUGUUUUUGCCAUUCCUUCACUCUAAUUGUUGCCACAUUGAGAUGAGAAAUGCCUCCUUAUAUCAGUAAAGAAGUGGGGGGCGGGAUUCAUCAGCUUCUUUCACAGUAAACUAUUGUGUCUGCUUCACUCUCAAACUUGACACUUCUCUCACUCCUCUCUCCAGGAAUUUGGAGAGAAGUUCUGAAAAGUCUAUGUCAAGAAAGUUGCCCAUAGUUCCACUCAGAAUGACUCCUCCUCUGGCAUUUAGGGUUUGCAACUUACUGUAUUUACACCUCUAUAAAACAUAACUCAGUCUGGUAGUACUUAUAACAAAGGAGAUUAUUUCUCACAAUUCUGGAGGCCCUAAAGUCCAGGAUCACAAGGCACUGGCAGAUUUGGUUUCUGGCAAGUGCUUUGUAGGGCCCAUUUCCCUACACAGUGGAAUAGGCAAAGCUGCUCCAAGGAGCCUCUUUUUAAAGGCACCAAUCCCCUUCACAAGAGCUUCACCUUCAUGAUCUAUUAUGCCCCCAAAGUCCCCACUCCUAUACUAUCACCAUGGAGUUAAAUUUUCAACAUGUGCACUUUCAGGGUCACAAGCAUUCAGAUCAUAUCAAUAGCCUCUUUUGAAUCUCACUCCUUCAAUUCUAAUCCUUUGUCCAGUAGGGUAAGGGAUAUCUGUGGUUCUCCAGUUGUUUAGGAUGAUUUUAUGGGAAGUGAGUAUAUUCCAAUGCUUCUACUCAUCUUUUCAAAGAGGUUCGUCAGUUUUGAUGUGUACAUGAAAACACGGGCUGUGCGGGCUGCAGUUGGUCAUCCCAUGAUGCGCUGGAUUUCAUAGCACCAGGUGCAGCUUCCACCUUUGUUCUUAGAGCCUUGCUUUAUUUUAUCCUCAGGAGUUCUAUAUGAUGUGUCUAUUAGAACUAUUUCCUUCCUAUCUUGUAAGAACUAAGGUAUAUUCUCUCUUGCUGCUCAUAUUUCUCUGAGUAGAAUCAUUAUAAUUUUCUGUUUCCUUUCUGCUUAAAUAGCUUUCCCCUGUGUUAUAUUGCCUUGAUGAAUACCAAGUUCUUAUACCUCCUUUUUGCAUAAACAUUGAGUUUCUCCAUUGUCAAAUGAAAAAUAUCCUUCAUCUUGCCUUGAAAAAACCUUCCAAAACCUCCAUUCCUGCCCUAUCCAUCUUCAUUUCCAGCUUCCCAUGAUACCCAUCUGCUUCCGCCUGGUUGGGUUCUUCUUUUUUGGAGUGUGUCUUUUUCUUACCCUGUGCCAAGCUUGUCUGAUUCCCCAUCAGGGAUGGCUUUUCACCCCUCUCCUUGCUCCCAUCAGUCCAAGUCUUCUUCUUCUUCUUUUAAUUGUUAAUUAACUUUAUUUUAUUCAUUUAUUUAUAUGAAGUGCUGAGAAUCAAACCCAGUGAGGCAAGCGCUCCACCACUGAGCUACAACUCCAGCCAUGUGUACUUUCUUCUUUAUAGGCCCUUUCCUGACUACUUAGGCUGAGUUUAAGCUCAUUCUUUUCUGAAUGAUACUGUAAUUUGCUUCCAAAAUUUUUCUUUUGCCUCAUAAUCGUCAACCUAGCCUAAUUUUCUUAUCUAUUCAUGAAGAUUACAGAUAUUGAAGAAUAUGAUCUGUAAUUUUGACUUUCCAUUCUUCUCUCCCAUUGAUUUUAGCAGAGACGUUUUCCCAUGGAAGGUGCUAAGUAAGCAUUUCUUGAGCAAAUGACCUGCAGCAUCUGUUGGUGAACUAUUCUAUAUCAAAUAUGGACACUUGCCUGUUGUCCAACAAACAGCUUGUCCUUUUUUUCCCCAGCUGGAGGGGGUGAGACAGCAUGCUUCCAUCCCUAAGGAGGAGCCAUGUCCAAAGAAGUCCUCUCCCAGGCACUAUGACCAGCCCACAUACUUCCAAGGAAUGGAGGUGCCCUGAAAGAACUGAGAGGCAGGGCAGAGUGUUAUUGCAAGGGCUCCACCUGAUGGGUUAGCUUAGCCAAGAGAAAAUCAACUACACACUGAUCUCAUGUCCCUAAAUUACCACCCAAUAAGAGGAGGAAGAGAGAAAAAUAAAAGCUGGCUUCCAUUUGCCCAGCCUUCUGGUUCAUCGACCUGGGAACACAGACUGCAUUGGCUGCUCAUUUACAGGGCUGCAUUGAUGGCUUCUCCCCAGGAGGGAACCAUGGAGAGAAUCAUUCACCCUCAAACUCCUCUGAUACUUGGUGCCUGAGGAAGCAAAAGCAGAUAAAGAAAUUGGAAUGAGACUUGCCUGAGAGGAACUUUGAAUCAUUUCAGAGAGGAAUGAAAUCUCAAAUUUUAAAACCUAAUUUAAUAAACAUACAUCUUUGCAAAAUAACAUUGUGCAUAUCAGCAGCGUUUCUAUCUCCAACUGAAAAUGGAAGCAAAGUUUUCCAUGACUGGGAAAUCCUCUUGAUAUUGAGACAACUGGAAAUAAGAGUUAAUCCAUCUAAUAUUUUUCUUCUAUUCAUUAAAGUUACCUUAUUCCAUAUUUUAAAA
Molecule: long non-coding RNA, 13778 nt
Organism: Marmota monax (woodchuck)
Lineage: Eukaryota; Metazoa; Chordata; Mammalia; Rodentia; Sciuridae
Exons: 3
Source: RefSeq, a predicted model, not a curated record